GACACAACAAACCACUCCCUCUGGGCAGGACAUCAUGUCGGGAUACUGCAAAAACAGAUAAAACCAGAUAUGAUUAAAAGAAAAAAGGGAUGGUGGGAUGGACGAAUGUCUCUUCUGUAAAACUAGUUUGCAACAGGCUGAUGCAACAAGCUGAAAACAUGGCAGUGAGGGGCUACAAGGAGAAACUGGGUUCAAAGAAGAGCUGUUUUUGUCGGGGCUGAACAAAAACAAGGUGAAGGCGUGGACGCUACCUGGUGUCAGAGGAGUGCAGAGAGUUGGACAGGACAGAGGACGUGUUGAUGACCUCAUCCUCCACGUGAUGGUUCUGC
This is a long non-coding RNA of Betta splendens (Siamese fighting fish), 329 nucleotides long. RefSeq lists it as uncharacterized. Lineage: Eukaryota; Metazoa; Chordata; Actinopteri; Anabantiformes; Osphronemidae. The transcript is spliced from 3 exons. The record is from RefSeq and is a predicted model, not a curated record.